AUGGUGUCUCAUUUGCACAGGCCCAGAGGAGGCCUCAGCCUCGUCUGCAAGGCCUCAGGGUUCACCUUCAGCAAUAAUGGCAUGCAGUGGGUGCGACAGGCACCAGGAAAGGAGCUGGAAUGGGUCGCUGGUAUUAGCUAUGAUGGUAGUGAGACAGAAUAUGGUCCAGUGGUGCAGGGCCGUGCCACCAUCACGAGGGACAACGGGCAGAGCACAGUGAGGCUGCAGCUGAACAGCCUGAAGGACGAGGACUCGGCCAUGUAUUACUGCGCCAAAGAGGCUGGUGGUGGUUGGAGUACUGAUGCUUAUGGUGGUUAUGAGGCUGGUUUCAUGGACAGCACCUGGGCUCUGAUCUCCAGUAUUAUGGUUCUGGUCAUGGUCAUGGUUAUCAGCCAUCACUGA
Coturnix japonica (Japanese quail) is the source of this 402-nucleotide non-coding RNA. NCBI's taxonomy places the organism in Eukaryota, Metazoa, Chordata, Aves, Galliformes, Phasianidae. The record is from the annotation of a RefSeq genome assembly.